RNAcentral lists this long non-coding RNA (1980 nucleotides) under Monomorium pharaonis (pharaoh ant). Its description in RNAcentral is "uncharacterized LOC118645716". Lineage: Eukaryota; Metazoa; Arthropoda; Insecta; Hymenoptera; Formicidae. The record is from RNAcentral.
CUUGAAUGCCUGUGGGGGAAGCUAACUGUACCCAUUGCACUUAUUAAGUUUGUUUUUUAUUCCUGCACUGCUACACUAGUGCAAUAAGUAAGAAUGAGAAAAAAUAUAUUUGUCUUAUUCUAACUUAUUGCACCAGUGCAGCAGUGCAGGAAUAAAAAACAAACCUAUUACGUCGUUGAUCGUAAAAUUGUGGUUCGUCGCGCCGUGUUAACGCGGUUCGGGAGUGCCGACCGAUUGAAUUGAAAACGAACCGUAGCCGGCUCGUCGUGUCGCGCGUUUGCUUCGGGAGUGUCGUUCAAGUAAAUGGACUAAAAGGGCUGUCUAGUCUAAUUAGUUCUACGCGCGAUCGUAGUAUAUUCGGUUAUUCGCGAGUGUCCUGUGCAACGAGAGGAGGAGGAGGCCUGGGAAAGGCAUUGGGCCCCGGCAGAGCAACUUUGAGAAUCAUCGUAGCGACGUUGCUGAAUAUCUCUGCCGCUGCGCAUCGAUCGGUGAGUGAUGAAUAAACUUUUAAAAUUGGAGUAAUAGAUCUGUGACAAAAUUGUACUUCAUAUAUAAUGUAGAAAUGUUUGCUAUAAUGCUGCAAUAAUAAAUAACAUUUAGAUAUCAUAUUUAUUUCAUGGAUCUAUUGCUUUAAAGUGGAUUGACUAAAACAGAUCAGGAUUUAACAUUUAAUCCUGAAUGAAUGAUAUACAUUAACUUAUCAUGCAUAUUUAAUUUAUUAAAUAAUUUUUUUCGACGCCGUUGCAGUCUCGGCGAGGGUUAGGUAUGUGUUCAACAUCAUCAAAUAUAAAUUACAAGUAUAAUAAAAAAUAUAUAAUGUAUCUUGCACGUAUGCGCACAAUUAGAAACUGCGCGCCGUUUCGUCUCUGAUAAAUUCCGUCAAAUAACUAAAAUAGAAUAAAAUAAAUGCCGAUCAACUAAAUUUAACUAUAAACUUGAAAUGUUUUAAACUCCCUUUUAAAAUUUUAUUUCUUUCUGGGGUAAUAACAGCCGCUAUAAUUAAUCAUACGAAUAGGUAGAAAUAUUAAUAUAUAGAAAUAUGUAAAAAAUAAAUAGGUAUUAGAAAAUAGAUAGAAAACGGAUAAGAAUACUCUAUGUAAAUAGAUACGAAAAAAUUAUGUAAAUGCUUUUUUUAAUUUUAUAGAAACAAUCUGUGUAAUUAAAAAUUAUAUGAUUGUUGUUGUUAUAAUGUUAUGUAAUUAAAAAUUAUAUACUAAUGCCCGAUAUAUUACAGGAAAUCAGAACAUGAUAUACGAUAAUACAUCACAAUUUAUUAAAUUAGCGUGUUAAAUUUAUAUACUUUUCACUUUAUAUUUUCUUAAUAUUUUAAUGUUUGUUCUUAAUUUUCUUCUAAUUUUGUUUUUAAACUUUUAUUCUUUGUUUAUAUCUUUAUUCUUUAAUACCAGAAUAUUUAAUACAAAUGGUGAAUUUUAAUAUUGUUGUAUUUAUUUCGUCGCUUUUAUGUAAUGUGGUGAAAAUAUAUUGUAAAAUGUAUUGUAAAAUAUUUUAUAAUUUGUAAUUUAUUAAUUUUAUUUUUAAUAUUUAAUAUGAAAUAAAUUCUAACUUAUAUAAAUUGUAAUAAAUAUAUUGUAAAAUUAUACUGUAUUCUUUAUGCAUUUGCUGUAAAUUUAUUUUACUAUGUUGUAUUAUUGAAUUAUGUAACAAAAAAUAACAAUAAAAUAAAGAAAACACAUUUAAAGAAAGAGGACCGUCGACUAAGAAUCGACGGGGGUGGUGGAGGGCCUCUACAGGUUGAUCCGUUUUUACCGAGUAAAAUUUUAAUUAGAAAUUACAUUAAAAACAUAAUCUUUAGUUAAGAAAAUGUUGUCAUUUAUCCUGUAAAAUUUCAUUUGGUAAAAACAGAUCAAAUUUAACCAAAAUAUAUUCAAUCACAAUAAUAUACGGUAAAAACAAAACAAUUAUUUAUAAAAAAAUUUACAUUGCUUGAUUUUUACUUGCGAUUAUCGACGAACAAAAAAA